This 301-nucleotide ribosomal RNA is filed under the name uncultured bacterium. RNAcentral describes it as "partial 16S ribosomal RNA". It matches the Rfam family "Bacterial small subunit ribosomal RNA", at positions 509 to 807 of the family's 1533-position model. The record is from RNAcentral.
CAGUAGCCGCGGGAAUACGAAGGGUGCAAGCGUUACUCGGAAUUACUGGGCGUAAAGCGUGCGUAGGUGGUGGUUUAAGUCCGUUGUGAAAGCCCUGGGCUCAACCUGGGAAUUGCAGUGGAUACUGGGUCACUAGAGUGUGGUAGAGGAUAGUGGAAUUUCCGGUGUAGCAGUGAAAUGCGUAGAGUUCGGAAGGAACAUCUGUGGCGAAGGCGACUAUCUGGGCCAACACUGACACUGAGGCACGAAAGCGUGGGGAGCAAACAGGAUUAGAUACCCCUGUAGUCCCUGUCUCUUAUAC